CAAUUUAGUUCCUUCUCCCCAGGAAGGGGAUGUUGGUGAAUUCCCGACUGCUGCCACCUCCUCUCCUGUCCUGGCCUCUGUGCUGUUGUGGCAGAAACAUGCCCCAGAGUGGGCUGCAGAUUCUCCCAAUGUGAUUAGAUGGGGCCCACCCAGAAAAGAAGGAAUCACUUUGUAUUGGAGUCCUGACAAAAUCUCUCAGCUUAUGGGGCACUCUUUCCAUUCCUUUAUUUAGGACAACCAAGUACUAUUCAUAUAUGGGGAAGCCACAUUGGAUUAACAUGUUCUCAAUCAGUGCUAUCAUUUGAUGCACAGAGAGGUCACUGGAUACAAUAGAAACAGAAGAAAGCAAAGGAAUUCAGCACAGCUGUGGGGUCAUUCAUGUGGUUGGGGCGGGUGAUGUGACUCCACAGCUGUGCUGAAUUCCUUUAAUAAAUAUUUGAUGGUGAGUUAAACAGCCUUUGAAAGCUCACAGGUAAAGCCACAUUCUUUUUUUUUUUAAAUUAUACUUUAAGUUCUAGGGUACAUGUGCACAAUGUGCGGGUUUGUUACAUACGUAUAUAUGUGCCAUGUAGGUGUGCUGCACCCAUUAACUCAUCAUUUACAUUUGUUAUAUCUCCUAAUGCUAUCCCUCCCCUCUUCCCCCCACCCCACGACAGGCCCCGGUGUGUGAUGUUCCCCGCCCUGUGUCCGAUGUUGCCCGCCCUGUGUCCAAGUGUUCUCAUUGUUCAAUUCUCACCUAUGAGUGAGAACAUGCGGUGUUUGGUUUUCUGUCCCUGCGAUAGUUUGCUCAGAAUGAUUAAAGCCACACUCUUAAAUGGUAAUUGAAGGUUCUCCAUUUUGGCUGCAAGUGAGAUUCACUUGAAGUGUUUUUAAAACAAAGAAUACCUGGGGCCUAACCCCAGAUAAAUUAUAAUUUUGGUAGGGUGUGGAAACUGGGUAGCAGUAUGUUUACAAAAAUUUCCAGGUGAUUCUUGAGUAUAAUCAAGAACUGCUGAAUUCCAUUGUGCAGGUCAUUAUAUACAGGUAAGCGGUGGUUCUCAGAUCAGGCUGUAUAUUAGAAUCAUGGGAGGAGCUUUAGAAAAUGCCACUCCUAGCACCUGCUCCCAGUCAGUAAAAUCACUAUUUUGGGGGCAAGGGCCCAGGUGUCGAUAGAUUUUACAGCUCCCCAGUUGAUUUUAAUUCGCAGCCAGCAUUAAGAACUACUGAUUUAUAGAGGUUUUUUUUUAAUCAUAAAUUUCAUUGAUGUGAUACAAAUGGAUCCUUUUUAGCUUGGGAUGAGCUUUUCAGGAACAGCAUUAUUUAUAUACAGAUUCAAAAGCAUUAUUUAAAAAAUAACUUAGAAAUGAAGAUAAUAUAUUCUGAAAACCUGUGCUAGAUGAGGUUAAAGAUGUGUAUGAAGCAUUUGAAUGAAAUUGUUUCAGAAAAUGAAAGAUUGAGGAUAGUGAUAUAGUUUGGCUGUGUCCCUACCCAAAUCUCCUCUGGAUUUGUAAUCAAAAUUGUAAUCCUCACGUCGGGGGAGGGACCUUGUGGGAGGUCAUUGACUCAUGGGGGUGGUUUCCCCCAUUCUGUUCUCCUGAUAGUGAGUGAGUUCUCACGAGAUCUGAUGGUUUUAUACGUGGCAGUUGCUCCCGCUCUCUUCUCUUUCACCUGCUGCCAUGUAAGAUGCGACUGCUUCCCCUUCUGCCAUGAUUGUAAGUUUCCUGAGGCCUCCCAAGUCAUGCAGAACUGGGGCAGCUUGGCAGAGGAAAUGUGGUAGUGGCCUGAGGCCUUGGGGCUGAAAGAGCCCGGGGUCUGAAAUCAUCAGAAUUGUCUCCAGAUGAAUUGAAACUGAGAUGGAAAGCAGCAUAUGACUCAUCGUGGCUCCAGGAUAGGCCAUAUCACUUCCUGGAAAGUUCUGUCCAUUCCCAUGCUCCCAUGGACAACUGAGAGUGAGGACAUAAGUGAGUGUUAUGAUUAUGUGCUCUUCUAGCAAUUAUCCUUUAAUGGUAUAUAGAACCCCAAAUCCCAGGCUCCAUGAGCAGCAGAGCAGCAGAGUGGCACAGCAGAGGAGAGAAGAAGCAUCUGAACGUGGUGAGGAGUUUGGCUAUGGACAGUCAGAAAGGAGUUCAUCCUGGGACGGCUGAACUCCAGGGGAAGAUUAUCUUCCCAUUGCAUCCCCUUUCCAGCUCCCUAUGCCACUGAAAGCCACCCUGUCACUCAAUAAAAACUCCGCAUUCAUCACCUUUCAAACUGUUCGUGUGACCUGAUUCUUUCUGAACACUGGACAAGAAU
RNAcentral lists this long non-coding RNA (2271 nucleotides) under Homo sapiens (human). Its description in RNAcentral is "HSALNT0354512". Lineage: Eukaryota; Metazoa; Chordata; Mammalia; Primates; Hominidae. The record is from RNAcentral.